Molecule: ribosomal RNA, 18 nt
Filed under: Neocamarosporium salicorniicola
Lineage: Eukaryota; Fungi; Ascomycota; Dothideomycetes; Neocamarosporiaceae
Description: Neocamarosporium salicornicola partial 28S ribosomal RNA
Source: RNAcentral
CUGACCUCGGAUCAGGUA